RNAcentral lists this ribosomal RNA (403 nucleotides) under Bacteroidota bacterium. Its description in RNAcentral is "Bacteroidetes bacterium partial 16S ribosomal RNA". It matches the Rfam family "Bacterial small subunit ribosomal RNA", at positions 355 to 776 of the family's 1533-position model. Lineage: Bacteria; Pseudomonadati; Bacteroidota. The record is from RNAcentral.
UGGGGAAUAUUGCACAAUGGGGGAAACCCUGAUGCAGCGACGCCGCGUGAACGAAGAAGGUAUUCGUAUCGUAAAGUUCUGUCCUAUGGGAAGAUAAUGACAGUACCAUAGAAGAAAGCUCCGGCUAAAUACGUGCCAGCAGCCGCGGUAAUACGUAUGGAGCGAGCGUUGUCCGGAAUUAUUGGGCGUAAAGGGUACGCAGGCGGUUUAAUAAGUCGAAUGUUAAAGAUCGGGGCUCAACCCCGUAAAGCAUUGGAAACUGAUAAACUUGAGUAGUGGAGAGGAAAGUGGAAUUCCUAGUGUAGUGGUGAAAUACGUAGAUAUUAGGAGGAAUACCAGUAGCGAAGGCGACUUUCUGGUCAUCAUCUGACGCUGAGGUACGAAAGCGUGGGUAGCAAACAGG